RNAcentral lists this long non-coding RNA (435 nucleotides) under Homo sapiens (human). RNAcentral describes it as "HSALNT0237271". Lineage: Eukaryota; Metazoa; Chordata; Mammalia; Primates; Hominidae. The record is from RNAcentral.
CCAGGACUCACUCCUCUGCUCCCUUCCUAUUGGGCACGGACCCCUGGUCCCGCCCCUUCCAGGCUAAUAAGUACCUACAGGGGUGGAGACAGGAUGGCAACGUGAUGUUGUUAUUGUUGUUUUCUGCAAAGAAGGGUUGUGGAAAAACAAGAUGGAGAAGGUGAGAAAAUGAAAGUGGAAGAUCUGGAAUAUCUGGGUCAAUGGAUAAAGAUGGAAGGAUAGAGAAAGGCUUUCUAAUCCUCCCCAACUUUCCAUGUGGUACCCUCCCCGCAACUUCCAGAAUUAUUUAACACCGUGAGAGUCGCAUCCAACAAAUAUUUGUUGCUCAUUGAUCAUGUAAAAAAUCUCUAUUUACUCUAAAUUUAUUAAGAUGUUUAUCUAGACGUAUUAAGUUUUGAGAGUGGUUCAAAAAUAAAUAUAAUAUUUUCUUGCAGU